This 467-nucleotide ribosomal RNA is filed under the name uncultured Streptococcus sp. RNAcentral's name for it is "bacterial SSU rRNA". It matches the Rfam family "Bacterial small subunit ribosomal RNA", at positions 916 to 1381 of the family's 1533-position model. Lineage: Bacteria; Bacillati; Bacillota; Bacilli; Lactobacillales; Streptococcaceae. The record is from RNAcentral.
GAUGGGGCCCGCACAAGCGGUGGAGCAUGUGGUUUAAUUCGAUGCAACGCGAAGAACCUUACCAGGUCUUGACAUCUGUGGAACCUCUAUGAAAGUAGAGGGUGCCUUCGGGAGCCACAAGACAGGUGGUGCAUGGUUGUCGUCAGCUCGUGUCGUGAGAUGUUGGGUUAAGUCCCGCAACGAGCGCAACCCCUAUUGUUAGUUGCCAUCAUUCAGUUGGGCACUCUAGCGAGACUGCCGGUAAUAAACCGGAGGAAGUGGGGAUGACGUCAAAUCAUCAUGCCCCUUAUGACCUGGGCUACACACGUGCUACAAUGGUUGGUACAACGAGUUGCGAGUCGGUGACGGCGAGCUAAUCUCUUAAAGCCAAUCUCAGUUCGGAUUGUAGGCUGCAACUCGCCUACAUGAAGUCGGAAUCGCUAGUAAUCGCGGAUCAGCACGCCGCGGUGAAUACGUUCCCGGGCCUU